RNAcentral lists this transfer RNA (65 nucleotides) under Pseudorhabdosynochus yangjiangensis. Its description in RNAcentral is "tRNA-Thr". The record is from RNAcentral. Lineage: Eukaryota; Metazoa; Platyhelminthes; Monogenea; Dactylogyridea; Diplectanidae.
AAGUAAUAUAAAAUACAGUUCUCAUUUUUUUGUAAAAUUUAUAAAUACUAUCAACUUGUUAAUUU